RNAcentral lists this long non-coding RNA (1520 nucleotides) under Bemisia tabaci. RNAcentral describes it as "lncRNA ENSASIAIIG004328". The record is from RNAcentral. Lineage: Eukaryota; Metazoa; Arthropoda; Insecta; Hemiptera; Aleyrodidae.
AUGAUGGAGUUCAAAAUUAUUACUGUGAAAAUUUUUAAGCAGUCUUCACUUUAUUCAGCUGCCCUACAAAAAUUUAAUUGCUCUCCAAGUAAACUGCUCAAGAGGAUGAACUACAGAAGUGCAUCAAAUGGAUUCUUAUGGCGUGUUUUAACCAGCACACGACAUGGAUCACAUGCAGUGCAAACCUCCAAUUUUUUGAGCCACAGUACUACGAAACCAUAUGGUGAUCAAAAUCUGCCAACAUCGUUCAUUAAGGCUGAAACAUUGGAUUUUCCUCGUCUACUGGGAGUAAGAAGUCCUGACAUAAUGCUAAUGGUGAAACUUGAGAACUAUGACAUAGCUGAAACACCACACAUAAAAUUUUUAGAGGACAAAACUAACAGUUCUACGUCCUAUCUUGUCUCUAUUUGCUGUCUAAUAAGAAAUGCCUUUAAAAACUUCAGCCUCUGGGAUCUUGCAAGUUUCGUGAGCAGUGCGAAAAAGUUUAAACUCGCAAAUCCACCUGCAGAGGCUACCUCUGUAACGAUAAUUAGGGACGAUGAAACAGAUCCUUACACAAUGCAGGAGACAGUCAAUCAAAUUAUCAAUCGCUCGAUGAGACCUGAGUACACACUGAAUUCUCCUGUGGUGCUAUUAAAAAAAACGUCAAGGGCCGACUGUCGUGACAAAGGAGGAAAACAGAGCGACACGGGAAAUGCAAAGGAAUGUGAAGCAGGCGAUACUUCAAGUUCUGAUAAAAACAAAACUCCCGAGAGAAAAGAUGGCACAAAAUCGGACUCAGGCCAUGAGUCUGCUGAGGAUCCAUCACCUUCAAAAUGUGAACCCGGAUUCUGUCAGUUUCCAAACGAGAAAUUUACACUGAGAUGUCCAGACACCCAGCCACCUGCAAAUUGCUCGAACUGCGGAGCAUUUUCACCUGGUAAAAGCACGGCUUCAGGUGAGAGCGCAUGUUCAAGGGAGCCAUCUUGCUCUUCACCCUCAUCAGGUUGCCAAUCUCCUGGCUCAGGUUCUCUAUCACCUGAGAGAAACGUAUCAGGUUCAUCUUCAGGAGAAUGCCCUAAUAGAUGCUCUCCUCCAGGCACACCUGCAUCUUCUUAUUCAGGGUCUCCAAGAUCAAGCUCAACUUAUGGUAGUUGCCGUAGCUGCUUUACACCAGGUUCAUCAGCAGCAUCUGCUGGGUCUCGUUCGUCUGCUAGAAGUUCAAAUUCAAAUAGAUCGAAUGCUUCAUCAGUGAGAAGUUUAGAGGAAAUUCCUAACUUCCCUGAGGAGGGCGGCUGGGCCUCUUUGCCCGACGACAUCGACGCAGGUUUAGAAGAAGAAAUGUGCGAGAGAAAUCGACCCAGAGAUGAUUAUUGGGACCGUUGGAGGCGUCCUGUGCAAUCUCAAUCUCGUAAUCCCCCUCCACAGGUAAAGGAUGAUGUCAAACUUUAAAAUUACGAAUUACGAUUGAACAUUGUACGAGAAAAAAAUUGGGUAAAAUGAGAGGAUAUAAUUAAAGAGGGCAGGCCAUGAUAAAAAUC